Molecule: long non-coding RNA, 242 nt
Filed under: Nicotiana benthamiana
Lineage: Eukaryota; Viridiplantae; Streptophyta; Magnoliopsida; Solanales; Solanaceae
Description: long non-coding RNA (NBEN_LNC027119)
Source: RNAcentral
UUGGGAGGAGGUUGUGUUGGUGGUGGUGGAAAUGAAGCUUGUUCAUCACCACUUCUGGGUGAAGACGAUUCUUCAGCAAGUUCUGCUAUUAUUUCUUCAUAUGCCUCAUCUAUUGCCGGGUGUGAUUCUGCUAUGCCAAAGUUCCUUCUUUUUGCGCGGAUCCAAUCUCUAAAAAGCACUGAUUUUUCCAAGCUCUCCCACAUCGACGCUCUGUGAUCACCUAUUUGUAGUCUUGCUUGACU